GAUGAACGCUGGCGGCAUGCCUAACACAUGCAAGUCGAACGAGACCUUCGGGUCUAGUGGCGCACGGGUGCGUAACGCGUGGGAAUCUGCCCUCUGGUACGGAAUAACUCAGGGAAACUUGAGCUAAUACCGUAUAAUGACUUCGGUCCAAAGAUUUAUCGCCUGAGGAUGAGCCCGCGUCGGAUUAGCUAGUUGGUAGGGUAAAGGCCUACCAAGGCGGCGAUCCGUAGCUGGUCUGAGAGGAUGAUCAGCCACACUGGGACUGAGACACGGCCCAGACUCCUACGGGAGGCAGCAGUGGGGAAUAUUGGACAAUGGGGGAAACCCUGAUCCAGCAAUGCCGCGUGAGUGAUGAAGGCCUUAGGGUUGUAAAGCUCUUUUACCCGGGAUGAUAAUGACAGUACCGGGAGAAUAAGCCCCGGCUAACUCCGUGCCAGCAGCCGCGGUAAUACGGAGGGGGCUAGCGUUGUUCGGAAUUACUGGGCGUAAAGCGCACGUAGGCGGCGUUU
RNAcentral lists this ribosomal RNA (509 nucleotides) under uncultured bacterium. RNAcentral describes it as "bacterial SSU rRNA". It matches the Rfam family "Bacterial small subunit ribosomal RNA", at positions 28 to 583 of the family's 1533-position model. The record is from RNAcentral.